UCGAAAGCUUGCUUUUGAUGGGCGUCGACCGGCGCACGGGUGAGUAACGCGUAUCCAACCUGCCCAUCACUUGGGGAUAACCUUGCGAAAGUAAGACUAAUACCCAAUGAUAUCUCUAGAAGACAUCUGAAAGAGAUUAAAGAUUUAUCGGUGAUGGAUGGGGAUGCGUCUGAUUAGCUUGUUGGCGGGGUAACGGCCCACCAAGGCGACGAUCAGUAGGGGUUCUGAGAGGAAGGUCCCCCACAUUGGAACUGAGACACGGUCCAAACUCCCACGGGAGGCAGCAGUGAGGAAUAUUGGUCAAUGGACGAGAGUCUGAACCAGCCAAGUAGCGUGCAGGAUGACGGCCCUAUGGGUUGUAAACUGCUUUUAUAAGGGAAUAAAGUGAGAGUCGUGACUCUUUUUGCAUGUACCUUAUGAAUAAGGACCGGCUAAUUCCGUGCCAGCAGCCGCGGUAAUACGGAAGGUCCGGGCGUUAUCCGGAUUUAUUGGGUUUAAAGGGGGCGUAGGCCGGAGAUUAAGCGUGUUGUGAAAUGUAGACGCUCAACGUCUGCACUGCAGCGCGAACUGGUUUCCUUGAGUACGCACAAAGUGGGCGGAAUUCGUGGUGUAGCGGUGAAAUGCUUAGAUAUCACGAAGAACUCCGAUUGCGAAGGCAGCUCACUGGAGCGCA
This 673-nucleotide ribosomal RNA is filed under the name uncultured Bacteroidota bacterium. Its description in RNAcentral is "bacterial SSU rRNA". It matches the Rfam family "Bacterial small subunit ribosomal RNA", at positions 68 to 738 of the family's 1533-position model. The record is from RNAcentral. Lineage: Bacteria; Pseudomonadati; Bacteroidota.